This 357-nucleotide ribosomal RNA is filed under the name uncultured bacterium. RNAcentral describes it as "bacterial SSU rRNA". It matches the Rfam family "Bacterial small subunit ribosomal RNA", at positions 338 to 712 of the family's 1533-position model. The record is from RNAcentral.
CCUACGGGAUGCACCAGUGGGGAAUAUUGGACAAUGGGCGAAAGCCUGAUCCAGCAAUGCCGCGUGUGUGAAGAAGGUCUUCGGAUUGUAAAGCACUUUCGACGGGGACGAUGAUGGCGGUACCCGUAGAAGAAGCCCCGGCUAACCUCGUGCCAGCAGCCGCGGUAAUACGAAGGGGGCUAGCGUUGCUCGGAAUGACUGGGCGUAAAGGGCGCGUAGGCGGUUUAUGCAGUCAGAUGUGAAAUCCCCGGGCUUAACCUGGGAACUGCAUUUGAGACGCAUAGACUAGAGGUCGAGAGAGGGUUGUGGAAUUCCCAGUGUAGAGGUGAAAUUCGUAGAUAGUGGGGAGAACACCGG